CAACCUUGCGAUCGUACUCCCCAGGUGGUUCACUUAAUGCUUUCGCUUGGCCGCUGACAGUAUAUCGCCAACAGCGAGUGAACGUCGUUUACGGAGUGGACUACCAGGGUAUCUAAUCCUGUUCGCUCCCCACGCUUUCGUACCUCAGCGUCAAUAAUGGUUUAGUGAUCUGCCUUCGCAAUUGGUGUCCUAUAACAUAUCUAAGCAUUUCACCGCUACAUGUUGUAUUCCAACCACCUCAUCCAUAUUCAAGAACUUCAGUUUCAAUGGCAAUUCUCCAGUUAAGCUGGAGGCUUUCACCACUGACUUAAAGUCCCGCCUACGUACCCUUUAAACCCGAUAAAUCCGGACAACGCUUGGACCCUCCGUAUUACCGCGGCUGCUGGCACGGAGUUAGCCGGUCCUUAUUCGUAUAGUACCGUCAGCUCUCUACACGUAGAGAGGUUUCUUCCUAUAUAAAAGCAGUUUACAACCCAUAGGGCAGUCUUCCUGCACGCGGCAUGGCUGGAUCAGACUUUCGUCCAUUGUCCGAUAUUCCCUA
This 541-nucleotide ribosomal RNA is filed under the name uncultured Bacteroidota bacterium. Its description in RNAcentral is "uncultured Bacteroidetes bacterium partial 16S ribosomal RNA". Lineage: Bacteria; Pseudomonadati; Bacteroidota. The record is from RNAcentral.